Molecule: long non-coding RNA, 205 nt
Filed under: Elaeis guineensis (African oil palm)
Lineage: Eukaryota; Viridiplantae; Streptophyta; Magnoliopsida; Arecales; Arecaceae
Description: long non-coding RNA (EGUI_LNC019687)
Source: RNAcentral
CCAUCUACCUAAAAAAAUUAGCCACUUAUCCUAUUUCAUCGAUAUGUAUAGCAUAAUAAAAUGAAGGAUCUUCUAACUACCGACUCUUCAAAUAAUCUAAGAGAAUUUAUGCAUCUCCAACCUCAAGUUGUCUCGUCCUCUUUAUAUGUAAAUAAUAAGAGUAAUCAAUUCUUAUAAACUCGACAUGUUUGGCAUCUUGGGAUCC